RNAcentral lists this ribosomal RNA (466 nucleotides) under uncultured bacterium. RNAcentral's name for it is "partial 16S ribosomal RNA". It matches the Rfam family "Bacterial small subunit ribosomal RNA", at positions 28 to 506 of the family's 1533-position model. The record is from RNAcentral.
GACGAACGCUGGCGGCGUGCUUAACACAUGCAAGUCGAACGGAAAGGGCUAUUUCGGGGGGUACUCGAGUGGCGAACGGGUGAGUAACACGUAAGUAACCUGCCCUUGACUUUGGGAUAACUUCAGGAAACUGGGGCUAAUACCGGAAAGGAGCUCCUGCUGCAUGGUGGGGGCUGGAAAGUUUCGGCGGUUUGAGAUGGCCUCGCGGCUUAUCAGCUUGUUGGUGGGGAAGUGGCAUAAAAAGGCCUUGCCGGGUAGCCGGCCUGAGAGGGUGACCGGCCACAUUGGGACUGAGGGAGGGCCCAGACUCCUACGGUAGGCAGCGGUGGGAAAUAUUGCACAAUGGUGGGACGCCUGAUGCAGCAACGCCGUGAGCGUGAUGCCGGCCUACUUGUGGUAAACCGCUUUCGCUCAUUACGUUGCUUUGUGUGACGUUAGUGGGUAAAGAAGCACCGCCUACUUCCGU